This 897-nucleotide ribosomal RNA is filed under the name Alloxysta victrix. RNAcentral describes it as "SSU rRNA". It matches the Rfam family "Eukaryotic small subunit ribosomal RNA", at positions 48 to 882 of the family's 1831-position model. Lineage: Eukaryota; Metazoa; Arthropoda; Insecta; Hymenoptera; Figitidae. The record is from RNAcentral.
GCCAUGCAUGUCUCAGUGCAUGCCAAAUUAAGGUGAAACCGCGAAUGGCUCAUUAAAUCAGUUAUGGUUCCUUAGAUCGUACCCACAUUUACUUGGAUAACUGUGGUAAUUCUAGAGCUAAUACAUGCAAACUUGAGUUCUGACCAGAGAUGGAAGGAACGCUUUUAUUAGAUCAAAACCAAUCGGUGGCGGGUUCUGCUCGUCCACCGUUUACCUUGGUGACUCUGAAUAACUUUGUGCUGAUCGCACGGUCUUGUACCGGCGACGCAUCUUUCAAAUGUCUGCCUUAUCAACUGUCGAUGGUAGGUUCUGCGCCUACCAUGGUUGUAACGGGUAACGGGGAAUCAGGGUUCGAUUCCGGAGAGGGAGCCUGAGAAACGGCUACCACAUCCAAGGAAGGCAGCAGGCGCGCAAAUUACCCACUCCCGGCACGGGGAGGUAGUGACGAAAAAUAACGAUACGGGACUCAUCCGAGGCCCCGUAAUCGGAAUGAGUACACUUUAAAUCCUUUAACGAGGAUCAAUUGGAGGGCAAGUCUGGUGCCAGCAGCCGCGGUAAUUCCAGCUCCAAUAGCGUAUAUUAAAGUUGUUGCGGUUAAAAAGCUCGUAGUUGAAUCUGUGUCGCACGCUGUUGGUUCGCCGCUCGCGGUGUUUAACUGACAUGCUCGUGAGACGUCCUACCGGUGGGCUUAGCUCUUCGGGGCGGUCCAACUUAAUAUCCCAUCGCGGUGCUCUUAAUUGAGUGUCGAGGUGGGCCGGUACGUUUACUUUGAACAAAUUAGAGUGCUUAAAGCAGGCUAUUUUCGCCUGAAUAUUCUGUGCAUGGAAUAAUGGAAUAGGACCUCGGUUCUAUUUUGUUGGUUUUCGGAAAUCCGAGGUAAUGAUUAAUAGGGACAGA